Molecule: ribosomal RNA, 625 nt
Filed under: uncultured Gammaproteobacteria bacterium
Lineage: Bacteria; Pseudomonadati; Pseudomonadota; Gammaproteobacteria
Description: partial 16S ribosomal RNA
Rfam family: Bacterial small subunit ribosomal RNA
Source: RNAcentral
CAUGCUCCCGGGCGCCAUGGCGGCCGCGGGAAUUCGAUUAGAGUUUGAUCCUGGCUCAGAUUGAACGCUGGCGGCAUGCCUAACACAUGCAAGUCGAACGGCAGCACAGUAAAGAUUUCGGUCUUUAUGGGGUGGCGAGUGGCGGACGGGUGAGUAACACGUAGGAAUCUGUCCUGGAGCGUGGGAUAACCCGAGGAAACUCGGGCUAAUACCACAUGAUAUCGAGAGAUCAAAAGCAGGGGACCGAAAGGCCUUGCGCUCUGGGGUGAGCCUACGUCGGAUUAGCUAGUUGGUGGGGUAAAAGCCUACCAAGGCGACGAUCCGUAGCUGGUCUGAGAGGAUGACCAGCCACACUGGGACUGAGACACGGCCCAGACUCCUACGGGAGGCAGCAGUGGGGAAUCUUGGACAAUGGGGGAAACCCUGAUCCAGCGAUGCCGCGUGUGUGAAGAAGGCCUUCGGGUUGUAAAGCACUUUAGGUGGGGAAGAAAGGUAACGAGCGAAUAACUCGUUGCUAUGACGGUACCCGCAGAAUAAGCACCGGCUAACUCUGUGCCAGCAGCCGCGGUAAAUCACUAGUGAAUUCGCGGCCGCCUGCAGGUCGACCAUAUGGGAGAGCUCCCAA